Molecule: ribosomal RNA, 254 nt
Filed under: uncultured bacterium
Lineage: Bacteria
Description: partial 16S ribosomal RNA
Rfam family: Bacterial small subunit ribosomal RNA
Source: RNAcentral
UACGUAGGGGGCAAGCGUUGUCCGGAUUUAUUGGGCGUAAAGAGCGUGUAGGCGGCUAGGUAGGUCCGUUGUGAAAACUCGAGGCUCAACCUCGAGACGUCGAUGGAAACCAUCUAGCUAGAGUCCGGAAGAGGAGAGUGGAAUUCCUGGUGUAGCGGUGAAAUGCGCAGAUAUCAGGAAGAACACCCGUGGCGAAGGCGGCUCUCUGGUACGUGACUGGACGCUGAGACGCGAAAGCGUGGGGAGCGAACAGG